RNAcentral lists this long non-coding RNA (2844 nucleotides) under Salmo salar (Atlantic salmon). RNAcentral's name for it is "lncRNA (ENSSSAG00000096442.1, ENSSSAG00000120825.1)". Lineage: Eukaryota; Metazoa; Chordata; Actinopteri; Salmoniformes; Salmonidae. The record is from RNAcentral.
UGUGUGUAGAUAUUAACAUUUUAAUGACCACAUAUUCACUUAGGAUCUCACUUCGUAAAGGCCACAGGACUGAAAUUGAAUGAAUGCAACAACCAUGUCUCUGUCACCUGCAAACACAGUCAUAGGUGGUACUGGUAACAAAAAUUCACCCUGGGAAUUAUGCAAAUAAGACUUAAAACCCUACAGCAGGACUAUUCAAUUCCGGUCUGGAGGGCCAAAACAUUUAUGGUUUUGGAAGAACUAUUUAUGGUUCUUCAGAGACACUAAAAUGGUUCCCCUAUGGCAUCACUCUCAAUAACCAUAUUUGGUUCCAUCUUGCACCUUUAUUUUUAAGAAUGUAUUAUGUAUAUCAAUAAUGGGUAGACCCCUCUCCCUCUCUGUCUCAGCGGGAUGUAAGCUAUGGGCCCCUAUCCCUCUCUGUGUCUCUCAGUGAGACAGAAAGUAGGCUGGGGGCCCAGGGCCCUGAGUGUCUGUGUUCUAAUUGCUGUUCUGGCGAUCCAGUGAGGAGGGCCAGCCAGUACCGAGGGGAGGGCUGUUCCUUUACCACACUGAUUUAUUGGACAAUUUCACAGCAGUGUCUGCAGUAAUGGGACAGGAUAAAUGGCUGACCCCUCUCUGACUGAGAUAACUCCAGGGGAAGAGGAGAGCAUGCUGGCCUGCCUCCCCACUUGGUGUGUGUGUGGCAACUUUCCUUCCCUACUCUGUCUAUAUAACCCCCACUAAUUCUCCAUCUCUCCUUUCUUUAUCCCUCCCCUACUAUCCUAUCAUGAGCAAUUUGCUCCCACCCCAUGUCAUCCUCUCUAUCUUCCUCUCUCUAUCCCUCCGUGUGUGUGUGUCUUUCUUUCACUCUCCACAGUCCACUAUCACUCGGUAUUUAUCUAUUUUCUCCCUCCUGUCGGUCCUUUCUUUCUCUCCCCCUUCUCUCCCCCCUGCUGCCCACCCCUUUAUUCAACCCUUCCUCCUGGGCGUGUGCGUGAGUGUGUGCGUGCAUGUGUGGGGUGAUCCCAAGCCUUUUAUGGCUUGACCUGUAUGGGGGCAGGUAGAUUGCAGGUUGCACUACACAUUUCCAUAUCUGUCUGUUCUCUGUCCAUCUGUCCUAUGCUCUGCUGUGAACAGGCGAUGUCUGGCCGCCUCUCAACAGGUCCUUCACUCCGUGUGAACAGGCGAUGUCUGGCCGCCUCUCAACAGGUCCUUCACUCUGUGUGAACAGGAGGUGUCUGGCCGCCUCUCAACAGGUCCUUCACUCCGUGUGAACAGGAGAUGUCUGGCUGCCUCUCAACAGGUCCUUCACUCCAUGUGAACAGGAGAUGUCUGGCCGCCUCUCAACAGGUCCUUCACUCCGUGUGAACAGGAGAUGUCUGGCUGCCUCUCAACAGGUCCUUCACUCCGUGUGAACAGGAGAUGUCUGGCCGCCUCUCAACAGGUCCUUCACUCCGUGUGAACAGGAGAUGUCUGGCUGCCUCUCAACAGGUCCUUCACUCCGUGUGAACAGGAGAUGUCUGGCCGCCUCUCAACAGGUCCUUCACUCCGUGUGAACAGGAGAUGUCUGGCUGUCUCUUAACAGGUCCUUCACUCCGUGUGAACAGGAGAUGUCUGGCUGCCUCUCAACAGGUCCUUCACUCCGUGUGAACAGGCGUUGUCUGGCCGCCUCUCAACGGGCAUUUACACUUGGGGUAGUGAAGUGCAGUCUGGGAGGAAGGAAACAUGCUCUCACUCCUUAUCUCCCUCUCUUCAUCCCCACCCCUCUCUCUUUCAGUUUUAAUUUACCUCUCAUUUUCUCCCUCCCUCCCUCGUCUCUCCUCCUCUCUCUCUUUUCCUCACUUCAUCUCCCUCUCUUUCUCUCACUUUAGCCUCUCUCCCCCUCCCCUCCCCUUCCCUCUCUCUGUCUUUUGGCCCAGUGGUUAAUGGGAAUCAAAUGGCAUCUCCCGUGGCGUGCGUCAGACUAGCGGGCCGUGAGUGAGGGGCGGUGGGUAGGGGAGUGCCUGUCUGCUUGUGUCUCCACCACGGGACGCCCACGGCAACAGAUGACCCAUCACUGCAGAGACAGAGCCAUGGCAACACAUCUUAUUAGACCAACAGGGACCAUCUGAUAGAGCUAUUAGUGUAGGAAUGACAGGGUAAGGGCCGUUCUGAGCUCUUUAUCUGUUGUGGCUCCAACAUGGAGGACUGCUGUGCUGAGGAAGUGGUUGUCAUGCUGUGGGAACUGGGAUGGUCUGGCACUGACUUAACCUACUUAAACUUACUUUACAGUCAACAACCUUAUUGUACUAAAUUAUUAGAGGCCAAAUGAGAUAAUAGAUACUGUGUUAAAGUUAGGAUAUAUUGAUAUGUGUAAAGGAUGUGACUUUAGAGAGGGGGGUUCAACAGUGAUGAUAACUUGUGGUCAUUUUUUGAAAAACUCCUCUGGCCUCUGCCAGUAUGUAACCUUUGACCCUCCUCCCCAGUCCACACUGCAUCUGCCAGCCUUACAAAGCCACACAAAUAUCCCACACAUCACAUGUCUCUGCAUGGGGACCAGCAGAUAGCUGCUUAUCUACAUCACGUGUCUCUGCAUGGGGACCAGCAGAUAGCUGCUUAUCUACAUCACGUGUCUCUGCAUGGGGACCAGCAGAUAGCUGCUUAUCUACAUCACGUGUCUCUGCAUGGGGACCAGCAGAUAGCUGCUUAUCUACAUCACAUGUCUCUGCAUGGGGACCAGCAGAUAGCUGCUUAUCUACAUCACGUGUCUCUGCAUGGGGACCAGCAGAUAGCUGCUUAUCUACAUCACGUGUCUCUGCAUGGGGACCAGCAGAUAGCUGCUUAUCUUCACUGUUGUGUAAGGGGCUGAAGUCUCCUCUCCCAAAG